GACGAACGCUGGCGGCGUGCUUAACACAUGCAAGUCGAACGGAAAGGCCCUGCUUUUGUGGGGUGCUCGAGUGGCGAACGGGUGAGCAACACGUGAGUAACCUGCCCUUGACUUUGGGAUAACUUCAGGAAACUGGGGCUAAUACCGGAUAGGAGCUCCUGCUGCAUGGUGGGGGUUGGAAAGUUUCGGCGGUUGGGGAUGGACUCGCGGCUUAUCAGCUUGUUGGUGGGGUAGUGGCUUACCAAGGCUUUGACGGGUAGCCGGCCUGAGAGGGUGACCGGCCACAUUGGGACUGAGAUACGGCCCAGACUCCUACGGGAGGCAGCAGUGGGGAAUAUUGCACAAUGGGCGGAAGCCUGAUGCAGCAACGCCGCGUGCGGGAUGACGGCCUUCGGGUUGUAAACCGCUUUCGCCUGUGACGAAGCGUGAGUGACGGUAAUGGGUAAAGAAGCACCGGCUAACUACGUGCCAGCAGCCGCGGUGAUACGUAGGGUGCGAGCGUUGUCCGGAUUUAUUGGGCGUAAAGGGCUCGUAGGUGGUUGAUCGCGUCGGAAGUGUAAUCUUGGGGCUUAACCCUGAGCGUGCUUUCGAUACGGGUUGACUUGAGGAAGGUAGGGGAGAAUGGAAUUCCUGGUGGAGCGGUGGAAUGCGCAGAUAUCAGGAGGAACACCAGUGGCGAAGGCGGUUCUCUGGGCCUUUCCUGACGCUGAGGAGCGAGAGCGUGGGGAGCGAACAGGCUUAGAUACCCUGGUAGUCCACGCUGUAAACGGUGGGUACUAGGUGUGGGGUCCAUUCCACGGGUUCCGUGCCGUAGCUAACGCUUAAGUACCCCGCCUGGGGAGUACGGCCGCAAGGCUAAAACUCAAAGGAAUUGACGGGGCCCCGCACAAGCGGCGGAGCAUGCGGAUUAAUUCGAUGCAACGCGUAGAACCUUACCUGGGUUUGACAUGGAUCGGGAGUGCUCAGAGAUGGGUGUGCCUCUUUUGGGGUCGGUUCACAGGUGGUGCAUGGCUGUCGUCAGCUCGUGUCGUGAGAUGUUGGGUUAAGUCCCGCAACGAGCGCAACCCUUGUUCACUGUUGCCAGCACGUUAUGGUGGGGACUCAGUGGAGACCGCCGGGGUCAACUCGGAGGAAGGUGGGGAUGACGUCAAGUCAUCAUGCCCCUUAUGUCCAGGGCUUCACGCAUGCUACAAUGGCUGGUACAGAGAGUGGCGAGCCUGUGAGGGUGAGCGAAUCUCGGAAAGCCGGUCUCAGUUCGGAUUGGGGUCUGCAACUCGACCUCAUGAAGUCGGAGUCGCUAGUAAUCGCAGAUCAGCAACGCUACGGUGAAUACGUUCCCGGGGCU
Molecule: ribosomal RNA, 1345 nt
Filed under: uncultured bacterium
Lineage: Bacteria
Description: partial 16S ribosomal RNA
Rfam family: Bacterial small subunit ribosomal RNA
Source: RNAcentral